Molecule: transfer RNA, 75 nt
Filed under: Betta imbellis (crescent betta)
Lineage: Eukaryota; Metazoa; Chordata; Actinopteri; Anabantiformes; Osphronemidae
Description: tRNA-Val
Source: RNAcentral
GCUGAGAAGUUAUCCGUGCAAAUCGGAUCAUUUUGAUACCCAACAGCUAGCUUACUCCUCUAAACCAAACAACCC